Long non-coding RNA from Salvia miltiorrhiza (redroot sage), 969 nucleotides. RefSeq lists it as uncharacterized. The record is from RefSeq and is a predicted model, not a curated record. Lineage: Eukaryota; Viridiplantae; Streptophyta; Magnoliopsida; Lamiales; Lamiaceae. The transcript is spliced from 3 exons.
UAAUUUGUUAAAAAAUUAUAUUCUUAAAUUCAUGAUUUUAUUAAGUAAUUAAUGUGGAUUGUUUUAGUUUAUUUUAUUUUUCAAAAUAAUUUGUAUGUUAUAAUUAUCUGUUCAAAAUUUAAAAUUAAUUUAAAAAAUAAAAUUAUUUUACUCACAUAAGAAAAUUAUUUUACAAAAUUAUUUCAUUUUACCGCCAAUUUCUAAAACUCCCACUAAAUACUAUUCUAAUUAAUAUUCCCACUACUCCACUUCACAUCCCCACCAAAACUCUCUCGCUUCCACUACUAAUUAACCUAAGUGUAAUUCACGCUAAUUCCAUCUCCAUUUUCACCUUUUCACUAGGGAUCAAAACCCUGGAGCCGCUCGCCGCUGAGCCCCCUAGCGCGUCGCCCGCCGCUCUGCGCCCUAGCGUCGCCCGCCGCUCUGCACCCAAGCACCGCCGCACGCUGCUCUGCUCCAUCAGCCGCCGCACGCGUCCAGGCUAGAACACGCAGCACGGCGUUCUAUAGGCCCGUUGGAAUCGUUGGAGUUUAAAGAGAGAGGUUGAAUUUGGUUGGUUGUUGCAGGGAGAGAAAGGCGAAACCCAAGGCUGCAGCAGAAUCCAAAGAUCCACAAAGUGUUGCAGCUAAGAAUCGAAGGGAACGGAUCAGUGAACUGCUAAAGAUUAUCUGCUUGCUCAGCUGCGAUGGAGAUCAUCAUAGGAGUCAUUGAAAAAGUUGUCACGAUGGUUAAUCAAUGUUCAACUCUUCCAAUGUACAAUGGAGUUGCUUUUUGAUCAAGAGCUUGAAGAAAAAUUAUGAGUCCUAGAUUAAUUUCGAGUUGUAGAUUAAGUGCUUAGUAAUUUAGACAUUAAAAAUUAUAUGUAGUUAGUAAUUUCAUACUUGUACUUUGAUUUUGUUAAAUAUUUUUUUAUGUAAAUGUUCUGUAUGAUAUUCUUGUUAUAUUUAAUGUGUUGAGUAUUUGAUUUUU